RNAcentral lists this ribosomal RNA (344 nucleotides) under Holothuroidea sp. P._tetracentriophora_5_NEC1. RNAcentral describes it as "partial large subunit ribosomal RNA". The record is from RNAcentral. Lineage: Eukaryota; Metazoa; Echinodermata; Holothuroidea.
AGGAGAUGUUAAUGUGGGACCUGUAUGAUUGGCAACACAUUUUCUAACUGUCUCUUUUCUUAACCUUCUAAACUUCUACUAAUGUGAAGAAGCAUUAAUAAAAAAGAAAGACGAGAAGACCCUGUCGAGCUUCAACUUCUAAAAGAAAAUAAAUAUAAUUCUUACAAAGAACAAUAUUUACUCUAACACAGAAGUUUUGGUUGGGGUAACCAUGGAGUAAAAAAAACCUCCAGAAACUUAGACAGAUUCUAAAUCAAAUAAACACUAAACAAAAAGAACCAAACAUAUUGGAAAACAGACAAUAGUUACCGCAGGGAUAACAGCGUCAUCUCCUUUAAGAGUUC